GCUUGAUAUUCUGCUUUACUUUUCAAUCAGACGAAACGAACCAGAAAAAUCAUGGCUUCUCAGGUCCUCAGACGCGCUCUAGGAAGCCGGUCCUCCCAGAUCCUCUCCUCAACCACCACCGCUGCCGCUGCUCCUAAUUAUUCCUUAUUAGCUUCUGCAGCCAGGGCCUUCCCCUCCGCCACAACUCCGAUCACAGCCACCCUCUUUCCCGGUGACGGCAUUGGCCCCGAGAUCGCUGAGUCUGUCAAACA
RNAcentral lists this unclassified non-coding RNA (251 nucleotides) under Hevea brasiliensis (rubber tree). Lineage: Eukaryota; Viridiplantae; Streptophyta; Magnoliopsida; Malpighiales; Euphorbiaceae. The record is from RNAcentral.